Non-coding RNA from Acanthosepion pharaonis, 114 nucleotides. NCBI's taxonomy places the organism in Eukaryota, Metazoa, Mollusca, Cephalopoda, Sepiida, Sepiidae. The record is from the annotation of a GenBank genome assembly.
UUACGGCCAUAUGACGUUUGAAACACCGGUUCUCGUACGAUUAUCGAAGUUAAGUAGCAUCAAGCCUGGUUAGUAGCUAGAUUGAUGAGCGCUUUGGAAUACUAGGUGCUGUAA